RNAcentral lists this ribosomal RNA (539 nucleotides) under uncultured bacterium. RNAcentral's name for it is "bacterial SSU rRNA". It matches the Rfam family "Bacterial small subunit ribosomal RNA", at positions 356 to 896 of the family's 1533-position model. The record is from RNAcentral.
GAGGAAUAUUGGUCAAUGGACGGAAGUCUGAACCAGCCAAGUAGCGUGCAGGAUGACGGCCCUAUGGGUUGUAAACUGCUUUUGUAUGGGGAUAAAGUUAGGGACGUGUCCCUAUUUGCAGGUACCAUACGAAUAAGGACCGGCUAAUUCCGUGCCAGCAGCCGCGGUAAUACGGAAGGUUCGGGCGUUAUCCGGAUUUAUUGGGUUUAAAGGGAGCGUAGGCCGGAGAUUAAGUGUGUUGUGAAAUGUAGACGCUCAACGUCUGACUUGCAGCGCAUACUGGUUUCCUUGAGUACGCACAACGUUGGCGGAAUUCGUCGUGUAGCGGUGAAAUGCUUAGAUAUGACGAAGAACUCCGAUUGCGAAGGCAGCUGACGGGAGCGCAACUGACGCUUAAGCUCGAAGGUGCGGGUAUCGAACAGGAUUAGAUACCCUGGUAGUCCGCACAGUAAACGAUGGAUGCCCGCUGUUGGUACCUGGUAUCAGCGGCUAAGCGAAAGCAUUAAGCAUCCCACCUGGGGAGUACGCCGGCAACGGUG